This is a long non-coding RNA of Aotus nancymaae (Ma's night monkey), 390 nucleotides long. The record is from Ensembl. NCBI's taxonomy places the organism in Eukaryota, Metazoa, Chordata, Mammalia, Primates, Aotidae.
UUAUUACUAUUACCAUUGUAAUAAAUACCUAUUAUUUUUCAGGUGGGACUACCAAGAUGAAAAGAUAUACGCCUCAUUGUUACAACUUCAGGAAGUUUAUCGUGGGAGUCAAGUGUGCAAAUCAACAAUUGGCAUGCAACUUUCAAGAGUUAAUAAUGGACCUAAAAAAUCUUGAUUUAAAUCCGAAGACAAUGUAGAUAUUCAAGGGCUCAAAAGGUUGAACCUGUACCAGUUGUCACUUGCUCCUGCUUAGAUAAACAACCGCAGCAAGUACUGGAGUAGGGCUCAUGCUGACCUCAUCAGGAAACCAUGUGUGGGUGCACUUCUUGGAGGCUUAUGAUUCAAGGUCAGUAAAGUGAAAAUUGUCCACAUGAUUCUUACACACAUAAA